GUGGGGAAUAUUGCACAAUGGGCGAAAGCCUGAUGCAGCAACGCCGCGUGAGGGACGACGGCCUUCGGGUUGUAAACCUCUUUUAGUAGGGAAGAAGCGAAAGUGACGGUACCUGCAGAAAAAGCACCGGCUAACUACGUGCCAGCAGCCGCGGUAAUACGUAGGGUGCAAGCGUUAUCCGGAAUUAUUGGGCGUAAAGAGCUCGUAGGCGGUCUGUCGCGUCUGCUGGGAAAACUGGAGGCUCAACCUCCAGCCUGCAGUGGGUACGGGCAGACUAGAGUGCGGUAGGGGAGAUUGGAAUUCCUGGUGUAGCGGUGGAAUGCGCAGAUAUCAGGAGGAACACCGAUGGCGAAGGCAGAUCUCUGGGCCGUAACUGACGCUGAGGAGCGAAAGCGUGGGGAGCGAACAGGAUUAGAUACCCGUGUAGUCC
RNAcentral lists this ribosomal RNA (430 nucleotides) under uncultured bacterium. RNAcentral's name for it is "bacterial SSU rRNA". It matches the Rfam family "Bacterial small subunit ribosomal RNA", at positions 354 to 796 of the family's 1533-position model. The record is from RNAcentral.